GUCUAUGGCCAUGCUACCAUGAACAAGCCAGAUCCUGGCUACACUCGAAAGCUAAGCAGGGUCGGGCCUGGUUAGCACUUGGAUGGGAGACCACCUAGGAAGACCAAGUGCUGUAGGCA
This 119-nucleotide ribosomal RNA is filed under the name Pteropus alecto (black flying fox). The record is from RNAcentral. Lineage: Eukaryota; Metazoa; Chordata; Mammalia; Chiroptera; Pteropodidae.